GCCGCGGUCGCAUAAUGGUAUUGCGGAAGGUUCAGAUCCUUCGUCCGUCAGGACCUCUGGGUUCGAUUCCCAGCCGCGGCG
This 81-nucleotide transfer RNA is filed under the name Nanobdellati archaeon. RNAcentral's name for it is "DPANN group archaeon (marine metagenome) tRNA-Leu". It matches the Rfam family "tRNA". From Rfam's summary of the family: Transfer RNA (tRNA) molecules are approximately 80 nucleotides in length. Their secondary structure includes four short double-helical elements and three loops (D, anti-codon, and T loops). Lineage: Archaea; Nanobdellati. The record is from RNAcentral.